This is a long non-coding RNA of Onychostoma macrolepis, 1513 nucleotides long. RefSeq lists it as uncharacterized. Lineage: Eukaryota; Metazoa; Chordata; Actinopteri; Cypriniformes; Cyprinidae. The transcript has 4 exons. The record is from RefSeq and is a predicted model, not a curated record.
UCUUAACUGUUGUUUAGAAGGAAACAGAUUUCAUUCUGAAGUGUUUUAAUCACAACAAACAACAUGAAGAUCAUUCCACUUCAGCUCUAUGUAUUAAUGUGUUGUCAGUAUGCAGUGGCAGAUCUACUGACUGAUUUUGGAUCAAAUGUGACCAUAAACUGUGAUCUUGAUGAAAAUGAGGUUUAUUGGAUUUUACUGAAAACAGCAGAUCCUCCAACAGUGAUUCUACGAUCAUUUCCAACCCCCAAAUCACCUUUUUACCCUAAUAAAUCAUUCAGAAAGAAAUAUUCAGUGCAGUUUAAACAUCGUCUGGUUAUUAAUAAUGUGACGGUUGAUGAAUUAGGAGUUUAUUACUGUAUGAACACAGAAACACCUCCAAAACUCAGCAACAGCACCAGAAUAUACUUCAAUGGUGAGUUCAUUUAUUCCUGUAGUCUUAAGAAUAAAGGUGCUUCGAAAGGUUCUUCAAGCGAUGCCAUAGAAGAACCAUUUUUGGUUGCACAAAGAACCAUUCAGUCAAAGGCUCUUUAAAGAACCAUCUCUUUCUUACUUUUUAUAAUCUGAAGAACCUUCUUUCAUCACAAAGAACCUUUGGUUAUUCAUGGCAUCAUGAAGCACCUUUAUUUUUAAGAGUGUUUAGUAAUUAAGACACUGGUGAUCAAUGUGUUUAUUUACCUUUUUAUUAUUUGUUAUUCAUUACUUCAAUUUUUAUACACUUUAUCAUAGAUAUCCCUCUUUCUGUUUGUUCCAGACAGAGAGGCCUGUUUUGUAGAUAUUAAACUGCAGUCAUUGUACUCCAGUAAAGACUAACAGUUGUUACUGUAACUCUGGACGUUUUCUUUACAGAAUCAGUUCAACUAACUGAGUGUCACAAUCACACAGAAGUGGAGUUCAUUGAUCAGAAUCAAACACAAUGGCAGAUGAUUAUUAUUAUCAUAUCUGCUCUGACAAACGGGCUUCUGAUCAUUGUGGUGAUCGUUUUUGCAAAAGCAGAACAGUUGGAAAAACAUAUUCAUAAUACUGAUCUGCAAACACAAGUUAUAUAUCAACCAUAAGAACCAAACCAAUUGCUUCAAUUGUAAGUUCACUGAGGUGGAAAAUAUUCAGCAAGUAAACAGCACCUUUGUGACUCUAUAAAAUGUUAUCAUGUGCUUAUCAUGUGCUAUACUCUUUUACAGAGUAAUAUCAUAAGUAUUUGGGACACUGGUUACACUUCUUACUCCAGUGAAGUCUAUAAAAAACACCCACAAGCCUGAUUACACAGCACCUGUUUAUUAGUUUUGUUCUUGGCUGGCAAUGCUGAGUAUAUUGUUAUUUCUUUGUUUGUUUGAUCUUGAAAUGUUUUUCCAUGUUUUAUGAUUGCUCGCUGCCUGUUUAAAUAAAGCUGCAAAUGGAUCAUCACUCGAACGUUUCCGAGUCUGCAUCACACAGUCGUAAAAUUUUACAAACCUCUGCAUGGUGUGACUACAGGCAACACAGUGCGGUCAAACUCAACUGAAGCGCUUCACCAAAA